Molecule: ribosomal RNA, 337 nt
Filed under: uncultured bacterium
Lineage: Bacteria
Description: bacterial SSU rRNA
Rfam family: Bacterial small subunit ribosomal RNA
Source: RNAcentral
AGAGUUUGAUCCUGGCUCAGAUUGAACGCUGGCGACGUGCUUAACACAUGCAAGUCGUGCGAGAAAGUAGGCUUCGGUCUAUGAGUAGAGCGGCGCACGGGUGAGUAACGCGUGGAUGAUCUACCCUUGAGUUCGGGAUAACGGUGCGAAAGCGCCGCUAAUACCGUAUAACAAUCCAUUUCAUCGUGGGUUCAAAGCAGGCCUCUUCGUGAAAGCUUGCGCUUGGGGAUGAGUCCGCGUCCCAUUAGCUUGUUGGCGGGUAACGGCCCACCAAGGCUACGAUGGGUAGCUGGUCUGAGAGGAUGAUCAGCCACACUGGAACUGAAACACGGUCCAG